GAGCGGCCGAUGCCCGAUUAGCUAGUUGGCGGGGUAAUGGCCCACCAAGGCGACGAUCGGUAGCUGGUCUGAGAGGACGACCAGCCACACUGGGACUGAGACACGGCCCAGACUCCUACGGGAGGCAGCAGUGGGGAAUUUUGGACAAUGGGGGCAACCCUGAUCCAGCCAUGCCGCGUGUGUGAAGAAGGCCUUCGGGUUGUAAAGCACUUUCGGACGGAACGAAAUCGCGCGGGCGAAUAUCCCGCGUGGAUGACGGUACCGUAAGAAGAAGCACCGGCUAACUACGUGCCAGCAGCCGCGGUAAUACGUAGGGUGCGAGCGUUAAUCGGAAUUACUGGGCGUAAAGCGUGCGUAGGUGGUUCGUUGUGUCUGUGGUGAAAGCCCCGGGCUUAACCUGGGAAUGGCCAUGGAAACUGGCGAGCUGGAGUCUGGCAGAGGGGGGUGGAAUUCCGCGUGUAGCAGUGAAAUGCGUAGAGAUGCGGAGG
Molecule: ribosomal RNA, 488 nt
Filed under: uncultured Pseudomonadota bacterium
Lineage: Bacteria; Pseudomonadati; Pseudomonadota
Description: bacterial SSU rRNA
Rfam family: Bacterial small subunit ribosomal RNA
Source: RNAcentral